RNAcentral lists this transfer RNA (73 nucleotides) under Ixodes scapularis (black-legged tick). It matches the Rfam family "tRNA". Rfam says of the family: Transfer RNA (tRNA) molecules are approximately 80 nucleotides in length. Their secondary structure includes four short double-helical elements and three loops (D, anti-codon, and T loops). Further hydrogen bonds mediate the characteristic L-shaped molecular structure. tRNAs have two regions of fundamental functional importance: the anti-codon, which is responsible for specific mRNA codon recognition, and the 3' end, to which the tRNAs corresponding amino acid is attached (by aminoacyl-tRNA synthetases). tRNAs cope with the degeneracy of the genetic code in two manners: having more than one tRNA (with a specific anti-codon) for a particular amino acid; and 'wobble' base-pairing, i.e. permitting non-standard base-pairing at the 3rd anti-codon position. Lineage: Eukaryota; Metazoa; Arthropoda; Arachnida; Ixodida; Ixodidae. The record is from Rfam by way of RNAcentral.
UCCUGGUUAGCUCAGUCGGUAGAGCGCUCCGCUAAAAAUAGAGAGGUCCCUGGUUUGAUACCUGGAUCAGGCA